AACGAACGCUGGCGGCAUGCCUAACACAUGCCAGUCGAACGAGACCUUCGGGUCUAGUGGCGCACGGGUGCGUAACGCGUGGGAACCUGCCCUUAGGUUCGGAAUAACCCCCCGAAAGGGGUGCUAAUACCGGAUAAUGUCUUCGGACCAAAGAUUUAUCGCCUUUGGAUGGGCCCGCGUUGGAUUAGCUAGUUGGUAGGGUAAAAGCCUACCAAGGCGACGAUCCAUAGCUGGUCUGAGAGGAUGAUCAGCCACACUGGGACUGAGACACGGCCCAGACUCCUACGGGAGGCAGCAGUGGGGAAUAUUGGACAAUGGGCGAAAGCCUGAUCCAGCAAUGCCGCGUGAGUGAUGAAGGCCUUAGGGUUGUAAAGCUCUUUUACCCGGGAUGAUAAUGACAGUACCGGGAGAAUAAGCUCCGGCUAACUCCGUG
RNAcentral lists this ribosomal RNA (433 nucleotides) under uncultured bacterium. RNAcentral's name for it is "partial 16S ribosomal RNA". It matches the Rfam family "Bacterial small subunit ribosomal RNA", at positions 29 to 507 of the family's 1533-position model. The record is from RNAcentral.